Long non-coding RNA from Etheostoma spectabile (orangethroat darter), 231 nucleotides. RefSeq lists it as uncharacterized. The record is from RefSeq and is a predicted model, not a curated record. The transcript has 3 exons. NCBI's taxonomy places the organism in Eukaryota, Metazoa, Chordata, Actinopteri, Perciformes, Percidae.
GACUGUUCAGCUUUCAAUAACUCUUGGUAACAGUGUUAUUGUACCUGAAAAACCGACUACCUCUACACUACAUCUUCAAAUCAUAUUCUAUCUAAAGGAGUCAUAUAUUAAUACACGCGUCUUAAACCCAACAGUCUCUCAAUCAGCAUAAGUACAAAGUAAUCUUUUUACAUUCAGUCUCCUGAUACCAUUGAAAUCAACGUAUUACAACAGAUCAAAAUAUAAGAAAAA